AUUGAACGCUGGCGGCAUGCCUUACACAUGCAAGUCGAACGGUAACGGGCCUUCGGGUGCCGACGAGUGGCGAACGGGUGAGUAAUGCAUCGGAACGUACCUUUCAGUGGGGGAUAACGUAGCGAAAGUUACGCUAAUACCGCAUAUUCUGUGCGCAGGAAAGCAGGGGAUCGCAAGACCUUGCGCUGAUUGAGCGGCCGAUGUCAGAUUAGCUAGUUGGUGAGGUAAAGGCUCACCAAGGCGACGAUCUGUAGCGGGUCUGAGAGGAUGAUCCGCCACACUGGAACUGAGACACAGUCCAGACUACUACGGGAGGCAUCAGUGGGGAAUUUUGGACAAUGGGCGCAAGGCUGAUCCAGCAAUGCCGCGUGCAGGAUGAAGGCCUUCUGGGUGUAAACUGCUUUUGUACGUAACGAAAAGCCAUGGGUUAAUACCCUGGGGUCAUGACGGUACCGUAAGAAUAAGCACCGGCUAACUACGUGCCAGCCGCCGCCGUAA
RNAcentral lists this ribosomal RNA (498 nucleotides) under uncultured bacterium. RNAcentral's name for it is "partial 16S ribosomal RNA". It matches the Rfam family "Bacterial small subunit ribosomal RNA", at positions 30 to 523 of the family's 1533-position model. The record is from RNAcentral.